CCAGACUCGUUUCCAUGGUAACGGCCACCAAAGUUGGUACAUUACGGGUAUGCAUAAAUACAUACCUGAUGUAAAAAACCUGGAUUUUUUUCAAGCUUUUGAAAGUAUUUUGAAAGGUUUGUUCUUCAUUUAUUACAAAAAUAUUAUUAAAAAUGUAAAUAAAACACAAAUAAUGGCAGUUUUAUUCAUAUUCAUUAAUUUCGGCUCCAAUUUCAUUAACACUGCUGCACACAAAAAACACAGAUUUUGUUAAAAAUUUCUAUUUUUCUGAAAAUUCCAAAAAAAUGGUCCAAUGAAUUUUUUUUUAAAUUUGACAGAUGAUGGUCAUAACAAUGAGCUUUAAAAAAAUAUAAUAAAAAAAUAUGGGUCACCAGACUAUUUUUUGACUGAAAAACGUUUUUGUGACCCCUAACGACACAGUGAUCAACAGCUGUUAUUUAUAUAUCUUUCAAAAUCAGUGUAAAAAGUGUGACACAUGUUGUCAUGUCCUUUGUUAAACUUACACAGAAUAAUACAGUUCCAAAAGACAAUGAAAUGAAAGCAUUUGUGUGUCUCUAUGAACAAUGGUUACCAUGGCAACAGGACAAGAAGUUGGAAAAUUCAAGUUUUUGCAUUGUUCUGAUGUGCAAGAGUUACUACCUAACAGACAAAAAGAGAUCAAAUACCAUUAUUUCAGAGCUACAACACAUGGCUUCUAUGUAAAUGUAAACAAAUUUAUAUUAUGUUACACUGUAAUGUAGCUUAUAUAAGCAUUACUGUGGUCAAAAAUGAGCAAAAUAGAUAAGUCAGAAGUUUGCCAAAAUCUCCCUACUUUUUGUUUCAAUUAUCGAUUCAUAGACAACAGUUAUGCAAGUAAAUGGAUUAAAAAAAGUGUCAAGACUUUUUCACCCUGUC
This 894-nucleotide long non-coding RNA is filed under the name Mytilus galloprovincialis (Mediterranean mussel). Lineage: Eukaryota; Metazoa; Mollusca; Bivalvia; Mytilida; Mytilidae. The record is from RNAcentral.